This 253-nucleotide ribosomal RNA is filed under the name uncultured bacterium. Its description in RNAcentral is "partial 16S ribosomal RNA". It matches the Rfam family "Bacterial small subunit ribosomal RNA", at positions 524 to 776 of the family's 1533-position model. The record is from RNAcentral.
UACGGAGGGAGCUAGCGUUGUUCGGAAUUACUGGGCGUAAAGCGCACGUAGGCGGCUUUGUAAGUCAGAGGUGAAAGCCUGGAGCUCAACUCCAGAACUGCCUUUGAGACUGCAUCGCUUGAAUCCAGGAGAGGUGAGUGGAAUUCCGAGUGUAGAGGUGAAAUUCGUAGAUAUUCGGAAGACCACCACUGGCGAAUGCGGCUCACUGGACUGGUCUUGACGCUGAGGUGCGAAAGCGUGGGGAGCAAACAGG